UACGAAGGGGGCUAGCGUUGUUCGGAAUUACUGGGCGUAAAGCGCGCGCAGGCGGCUCUUCAAGUCAGGGGUGAAAGCCCAGAGCUCAACUCUGGAAUUGCCUUUGAGACUGUAGAGCUUGAGUACGGGAGAGGUGAGUGGAAUUCCCAGUGUAGAGGUGAAAUUCGUAGAUAUUGGGAAGAACACCGGUGGCGAAGGCGGCUCACUGGCCCGUUUCUGACGCUCAGGCGCGAAAGCGUGGGGAGCAAACAGG
Molecule: ribosomal RNA, 253 nt
Filed under: uncultured bacterium
Lineage: Bacteria
Description: partial 16S ribosomal RNA
Rfam family: Bacterial small subunit ribosomal RNA
Source: RNAcentral